GAGCUGUUAAAGGAGCUGAGCGCACCGCGUUCUGUGUUGCCUCAGAUUCGCUCCACUUUCUGCCGGCUCUGGGAAUGGACCUUGUCUCCGUCCCUUGCACUGGCCCCACUUUGGCUCAGAGUUGGAAGUUUCCCUCUUCUAAGCAGCCUGCAGGACCCUGUCAGUGACGUCACCUUCUGCCACAUCCACUGACACUCACCAGGUAUCCCUUGUGCCCCAGGAUUGGUGUUGGACUCAGAGCUUGGUUCCUGCUCCCAGGGGUCCUAAGAGCUUGUAAGGGAAGUGGGGCACGGUUGAGACACCCAGUUCGAGGCCCUCCAAGGCCGGCACGGCUCCGGGUCCCCCCAGUGCGUUGUUCGGAAGAAGCAGAGAUCCUCAUAGCUGAGAUGUGCUUGUCAGAGAACAUCUGUCACUUCCUGAGGUCUCAGAGUCAGACCGCCCCUCCACUGUCACCCAGAUUUAGAAAGUGAGAUUUAGAGAACCCCAAGAUCACUUGGAACCCUCAAGGGAAAUUUCAGGAUUUUUUUCCAAAUAGGAAGCCUAAGGCGGAUUUCUCACCAAGCUAGGAACUGGUUCCUGAAUAACUAUAGGGCUACGGCUUUAGAGAGACCACACCUCUCCUGUCCUACCCCCCUUGCCAAGAAUCUGUAAGUCAUUAAGAGGGUGAAAGCUUUCGUUUGAAUUUCCUGAGUCAAAACCAAGGCUUUAGUAUUUCCGGGUUUGGGGGACUGAAGAUUUCCCUUUUCUCCGACUUCCUCCAGGUCUCUUGGUGGGAAUGCAUUUCCUAGAAAUUUGCUCACAUCUGUGUUGUAAAUCUCCUAGCUACUCUCCCUCCAGGCCCCUCAGUCCUCUUCUGCCGAAUGAGAUGUUGGAUCCAAGAUCCUGCCCAUUUUGAGCCUCCUGGGCUCCAGCCUGUUCUUGUUACUGAUGAACCUCCCUCCACACCCAGGACCAACAGCUAUUUCCACAGGGCAUUUGAUGCCUCCCUGUUGUUUUCCAGUUUGUUCUGUGCUGCUGCUUUUUUGUCCUUCCUAAGAAAACCCCCUCAUUCCUGUCAAAGACCUGUCAGAAAUCACUGCUCUCCUGUGUAAUAGGCACUAAUGUCCUAUCAGAAAUCCAUGAGCUUCUAGCAGCAAUCACUGUUUUCCUGUUAGAAAUCACUGUUGUGUCAAGAAUCACCCUCUCCUUUUAAAAACCACUGUUCUGAGAAGAAUCACCACCACUCUUUAGAAAGCCUUGUUCUCUUGUCAGAAAUCCACUAAUACCCUGUCAGAAGUCAACAUUUUCUGUCGGAAAUCCCUGUUUUCCUGUUAUAAACCAUUGCUCGCCUGUCAAAAAUCCCUGCUCUCCUGUCAGAAAUCCUGCUUUCCUGACAGAGAUCCCUGUUUCUUGUCAGAAGUCAUUACUUUCCUACUGGAAGUUGCUGCUCCUUGCCUGAUUCUUCUCUCCACAGGAUGUUCAGAGUUGUCUGUCAUGCUUUGACAUUGAUAGCUUUCCUGUAGCUUCUGUCCUGCCGGCUGUUCACACCUGUUUCGCUGCAUCUCUUUAAGCUCAGUGCCGGGUCUGGAAGCAGCCUGAGCCAAUGGGCACUGCACUGGGGCAUCCACAGUCUCGUGUGCCCCUCCUGACUGAUUACAGACAAGUCAUUUUUUGCUUGCUGGACCUUUUCCUCAUCCCUUUGUUAGGGAUAAUAUCACUCUGUCUGCUUCACAAGGUUAUUUAAUUUAAAUCAGUGACUGUUCUGACUUUUUUAUUUUUGGCCGCAGCUUAAUGUGGGAUCUCAGUUCCCAGACCAGAGAUUGAACUCGGGCCACAUUGGUGAAAGCACCAAAUCCUAACCACUAGACCACCAGGAAACUCCCCAGUUUUGAUUCUGAGAGAGCUCCCAAUGUCUCUCUUCCUAUAAUUUGCACUCACAGAGCAAGUCUAAUACUUCUCUGCUACAGGCUUUCAAAUCACCCCUAAAUCUCCUCUAACACAGUGGCUUCUUGUUCGCUCACAGCCAGAUUAAACGUUCUCAGUUCCCUGCAUGAUGUGAUUUCCAGACCUGUUGCCAGCCUGGCCACAUAAAAUCCCUCCCCCCACCCCAAGAUAUACUCUAGUUUGUUUGGGUUUCCCUAAAUGUGCGGUCUGAGCAACCAAGAGGAAGCAGGAUUAUCACCUCCCUCCUUCUAAAGCAGAAUAUUCUUGAGGCCCAAGAUUGCAUUAGCUUUUGUACCAUUUACCAAAUAGAAACUUCCCAGCCAAAAGCUCUAU
Non-coding RNA from Sus scrofa (pig), 2256 nucleotides. NCBI's taxonomy places the organism in Eukaryota, Metazoa, Chordata, Mammalia, Artiodactyla, Suidae. The record is from RefSeq and is a predicted model, not a curated record.